ACAUACAAAAUCAGGUAUUCA
This 21-nucleotide small nuclear RNA is filed under the name Arabidopsis thaliana (thale cress). RNAcentral's name for it is "snRNA_17016". Lineage: Eukaryota; Viridiplantae; Streptophyta; Magnoliopsida; Brassicales; Brassicaceae. The record is from RNAcentral.